AAAAUGGCCUUACAACUGUCUUCACUCCUAUCAUGAUAGUUAGUCCAGACUACUGAGCCCUGGAUGGUAUAUCCAUGUACCAUCCUCCUGGGCUCUGGACAAACAUUAAACCCUCUCGCUCCUUCAAACCUGUACUGAUGCCCCUGUAUGGCUCAGGAAGUUCAGUGCUUCAUCCAAGGAUAUCCUGACUUCACUGUGUCAUAUGGCCUUGCCAACUUCCAGCCGGUAAGCUCCUUCCUAUGCUCAUCCCUUGCUGCCAUUGGUCUCACCUAGGGGUGGAGUUCAUCACAGACCUUCCAGCAUCUGUGUCCUGUUUGUGGAUGACCUUCUCCAAAGCCUGUCAUCUGGUGCCGAUGAAGAGACCACAGAGGUGUGUCCAUGAGUCCCUUCUCCGGCUAUCAUCCUCAAUUUAACUGGCAGAUGAAAUGGAAGAUUCAGGAGCUGAUUCGCCUCUGCCUCUGCUCCUGGAUGAUGGGCCAGUCUGUGCAGUCCACAAGAUCCUGGACUCCCAAAGUCAACCCCAUCUUUCUACCUUUCAGGUUGGUCAACCAAUUUGCUCAACACCAUAUGGUCAGGCCCUCAGGCAUGGUCCGCUGAAGGGGGAGCUGUCACGGCUAAACCAGGCUCUCCCUCUGCUAACACACUACGCUCGCUCUCUCCUGCAUUCUGAUUAUAUACACCCAGAACUCACUCACCUGCCAAUCAUGGACUGCACUGAAGCCUGGCAUUAAAUGCAUUCAGUGUCUGGUCCUGUCAGUGUGGCUAUAAAAAGUGUCUGGCUACUGUUCUUCUCCUGUGGAUUGCUCACCUGUGUAUUCACCCUGUUGAUCUCCUUCAUCUGUUCUGCUGUGUAUUUUCCAGUUCUCUGCUAAAUUGCCUAUCAGCUUCAGCGUUUGGUGUUUGUUCCAUCCAUGUGAUAUCCUCAUGUUCCCAUUUGCCUCUGCAAAUAGAGACUGUUACUGUCUGAGUUAAGAGACUUACCUGCUUGCGUUGUUCUUCAGUAUACUCACCUGUAUUGACAGUUCUCACACUGUUCAGUAA
This is a long non-coding RNA of Cyprinus carpio carpio, 1041 nucleotides long. Lineage: Eukaryota; Metazoa; Chordata; Actinopteri; Cypriniformes; Cyprinidae. The record is from Ensembl.